GUGAAAAGUACCCCGGGAGGGGAGUGAAAUAGAUCCUGAAACCGCGUGCCUACAUGCAGUCGGAGGUCGCAAGACUGACGGCGUGCCUAUUGAAGAAUGAGCCGGUGAGUUACCCUACGUGGCAAGGUUAAGCAAGGAGACUUGUGGAGCCGUAGCGAAAGCGAGUCUGAACAGGGCGUUCAGUCGCGUGGGGUAGACGCGAAACCGGGUGAUCUACCCAUGGGCAGGGUGAAGUCCAGGUAAAACUGGAUGGAGGCCCGAACCUUCUAGCGUUGCAAAGCUAUUGGGUGACCUGUGGGUAGCGGUGAAAUGCCAAGCGAACCCGGAGAUAGCUCGUUCUCCCCGAAAUGCAUUUAGGUGCAGCCUCGCGUGAUCUCCGUCGGAGGUAGAGCUCUGAAUGGGCUAGGGGGCUUACCGCUUACCAAACCCAAUCAAACUGCGAAUGCCGUCGGACAAAGCGCGGGAGUGAGACAGUGGGGGCUAAGCUUCAUUGUCGAGAGGGAAACAGCCCAGACCACCAGCUAAGGUCCCGAAGUCCAUGCUCAGUGUGAAAGGAUGUUGGAUCGCAAAAACAGCCAGGAGGUUGGCUUAGAAGCAGCCACCCUUUAAAGAGUGCGUAAUAGCUCACUGGUCGAGUGGUCCUGCGCCGACAAUAUAACGGGGCUAAGCAUGGCACCGAAGCUGUGGGCCUGCGUAAGCAGGCGGUAGGGGAGCGUUUGCUCCAGCUGCGAAGCGGAAGCCGUGAGGCGCCGUGGAGCGGAGCGAAGUGAGAAUGCCGGCAUGAGUAGCGUAAGGCGCGUGAGAACCGCGCCCGCCGUAAACCUAAGGUUUCCUACGGAAGGUCAAUCCGCGUAGGGUUAGUCGGGCCUAAGCCGAGGCCGAGAGGCGUAGGCGAUGGACAGCUGGUUAGUAUUCCAGCACCGCAGCAGUCGCGUUCGAUGCAGAGGGGGGACCCAGGAGGGUAGAUUUCGCGGGCCUAUUGGACAUGGUCCGUUCCUUACUCUUAGGCGUCGGUCCGGAGGCAAAUCCCCGGACCGGUUAAGCGGAGGAGUCGGGAAAAGCGGAGACUUCGGUCAAAGCGAUGAGGUCGAGCCCACGCUGGCUAGAAAAGCCUCGCUGCUAGUUACUGUUGUGCCCGUACCGCAAACCGACACUGGUAGGUGGUGGUAAGUACCACGAGGCGAACGGGAGAACCUUCGUUAAGGAAUUCGGCAAAAUCGAUCCGUAACUUCGGGAGAAGGAUCGCCCCUGGAGGCCGCAAGGUUUCUGGGGGCCGCAGUGAGCAGGCCCAGGCGACUGUUUAUCAAAAUCACAGGUCUCUGCAAACGAGAAAGCGGACGUAUAGGGGCUGACGCCUGCCCAGUGCCGGAAGGUUAAGGGGAGAGGUGCAAGCUUUGAACCGAAGCCCCGGUGAACGGCGGCCGUAACUAUAACGGUCCUAAGGUAGCGAAAUUCCUUGUCGGGUAAGUUCCGACCCGCACGAAAGGCGUAACGAUCUGGGCACUGUCUCAACGGAGGACCCGGCGAAAUUGAAUUGACCGUGAAGAUGCGGUUGUCCCGCGGCAGGACAAAAAGACCCCGUGGAGCUUUACUGCAAUUUGGCGCG
Molecule: ribosomal RNA, 1606 nt
Filed under: metagenome
Description: bacterial LSU rRNA
Rfam family: Bacterial large subunit ribosomal RNA
Source: RNAcentral